This 307-nucleotide long non-coding RNA is filed under the name Equus asinus (donkey). RNAcentral describes it as "lncRNA (ENSEASG00005024677.1)". Lineage: Eukaryota; Metazoa; Chordata; Mammalia; Perissodactyla; Equidae. The record is from RNAcentral.
GGCCUUUUCCUGGUCCUCCUUGAUCCCGGGGGACUCAGAGGCGAUGCAGAACACUAUGUGAGGGGAAAAAAAACAAUAACAACAAAAAACAAAAACCAGGGGUAAAGAACCUGAGGCCCAAAGACAUUGCAAAUAGCUUGCCUGAAGUCUCACAGUGGGGAUUCAGCAGCAGGAACUCCAGCACAGGUGGUCUGGCUCUGGAACACAUGCUCUUAGAAACAGUCUUCAGUGUCAAGGAGGGUCAUUGAGGCCCACAGCACCCAGAGCACCACAAGACAGGGAAAGUCUCACCAAAGGACAAUGCCUC